Molecule: ribosomal RNA, 468 nt
Filed under: uncultured bacterium
Lineage: Bacteria
Description: partial 16S ribosomal RNA
Rfam family: Bacterial small subunit ribosomal RNA
Source: RNAcentral
GACGAACGCUGGCGGCGCGCCUAACACAUGCAAGUCGAACGGAGUCAAGAGGAGCUUGCUUUUCUUGACUUAGUGGCGAACGGGUGAGUAACGCGUGAGUAACCUGCCCUGGAGUGGGGGACAACAGUUGGAAACGACUGCUAAUACCGCAUAAGCCCACGGAACCGCAUGGAUCUGCGGGAAAAGGAUUUAUUCGCUUCAGGAUGGACUCGCGUCCAAUUAGCUAGUUGGUGAGGUAACGGCCCACCAAGGCGACGAUUGGUAGCCGGACUGAGAGGUUGAACGGCCACAUUGGGACUGAGACACGGCCCAGACUCCUACGGGAAGCAGCAGUGGGGGAUAUUGCACAAUGGGGGAAACCCUGAUGCAGCGACGCCGCGUGGAGGAAGAAGGUUUUCGGAUUGUAAACUCCUGUCGUUAGGGACGAUAAUGACGGUACCUAACAAGAAAGCACCGGCUAACUACGUG